AGGUCGUUAGCUCAGUCGCUUUUUAUAAAGCUAGGGCAGUUGGCUUUUAACCAAUCGGUUGAUAGGUUUUAAUCCUUCACGACCCACCA
RNAcentral lists this transfer RNA (89 nucleotides) under Shewanella sp. SNU WT4. RNAcentral describes it as "tRNA-Lys". It matches the Rfam family "tRNA". Rfam says of the family: Transfer RNA (tRNA) molecules are approximately 80 nucleotides in length. Their secondary structure includes four short double-helical elements and three loops (D, anti-codon, and T loops). Lineage: Bacteria; Pseudomonadati; Pseudomonadota; Gammaproteobacteria; Alteromonadales; Shewanellaceae. The record is from RNAcentral.